Long non-coding RNA from Lycium ferocissimum, 2107 nucleotides. RefSeq lists it as uncharacterized. The transcript has 5 exons. Lineage: Eukaryota; Viridiplantae; Streptophyta; Magnoliopsida; Solanales; Solanaceae. The record is from RefSeq and is a predicted model, not a curated record.
UUUUAUUCAGUUUUUUCUUUUUAGUAUUAUUAUUAUUAUUAUUAUUAUUUUAUGUUAUAUGUGGCUUCUUAAUUUCUCGCUACAGACAAACAGGAAAUGGAUAGCUUCUUUGCAUUUCCUAUUUUUUUCAACCAUGCAAUGUUAAUAUACACGUCCUAAAUUAGCAAAUUCUUCUAUUUGGGCAUAAGGAUAUCUUAAUCUAUUACUCUAUUCAUUGGUUUUCUUCAUUGAGUUUUAUUAAGUAUCUUACUUAUUCAGUUCUUGCAUCCUCAUCGGAGGGCCUAACAAUGGACGAAAGAAUAUCUCCGAGUUCUGUAAUUUUGUUGCAUUCAUUCCUGGUGACCAUGUCAGGGACCUCAAAGCUAGAGAUAUAACAUAAGAUUUUCUUGCAAGGCUCCAAGUUUCCUGCUACUGGUGUGUGCCCCACAAGUUAUGAGGAAGUCUUUGGUUCUGGUGUUUGGGCUGAAAGAAACACAAAAAUAAGAUCGCAGUUGGAAGGAUGAUGGGAAUGAAACAUAAGCGCUUUGAAUGUUGUAUGUUGUACCAACCAAUUGUACUAUGGACUACCUGUUAUACUAUGGACAAUCAAGAAGGAAAGAAAUGCUCUUCUAUGGUACAAUGGUACCCACGAAUGAACAAGAAAGGACAUCUCAAAACUCUUACAUGUCAACAUGCAGUCUGUUUGAAGUUUGGCUAUGUGUUAUAGUUUGCAAAUGACUGGUAAUGUCUCAUACAAGAAUCUUAUACCAGUUCCUAAAAUUUAAAUAUUGUGUGCACUGAGAACACAGUAUGGAGAAAGAGUUUCUUUAACUUCACCAGAAGCUUAAAUAACAACACAUCUAUGUAUUACUUUUCACUUUGGAUAUCUAUGUGUUUGUUUUGUGAAAGAGUACAGAUUUUGGAGCACAUACAAGGAAAUUAUGGCACUUCACUUUUCAGAAGAGAGUGUCAAAGAGCUGAAGUUUCAUAUUAAAUAGUCUGAUUUAAAGAAACCAAUGCCUUUGCACCUUUGCACAGGGAAAUCUCCCAAUUCCAUAAAUAAGUGUGUAUCCUGGAGAUGUGGGGAUUGCAUUAGCUUGAUGGCCAAAUCUUGAAAGAUCAAGUGUUCAUUUUGAGAUGGGGAACAGUCUUCAUUUAACAAACGACUUUUUGCACCGGGUGGUUUGGUGCAAAACACUUUGAGAUUGUUUGUCAGUUGUGCCUUGCUAAUGUGCAAUUUGCACUUCUUUUUUUCUAGAAGUGUUACUUUAGUUUGCCAGUUUUUCUAGAGUAAUAACAGUUAUUAACUGAAAGAGCAAUGACAACUUUAAAGUUAUGUUCUAUUAUGCUAUAUACCGUAGGUAAGACAAGGCUAACUUGGAGUCAAGUAGACAUUUCAUAUUGCCUUCGUAUUUAUAUUGCACUGUAGAGUUUAUCAGGCCCGUGCAAUCUAGUGAAUACAAUAAGUGGAAGUUUGGUGGUGCGACAAAGGGCAAUUCCCUAAUUAUGAAAUUCUUUAUGGGUUAUUUAGUAAUUCUGCAUCAUUCCUCAAGGACAUGUGUAGUGCAACCGUACAUAACACGCGUUCGCCUCAAACAUCAAGCCGAAGCCCUGUUCUGCUCCUUAGACUUCUUUAUAUCUUUCAAUUUUACUCAAAUUCUUCCGAUGUCCCCUUUCUCUAAGUUUGUGUUCAUUGACUUGGUGAGUGAUCUGCAAUCUUUCUUUCUUUAUUGUUUGCACUACCUAUUGGUAAAAUUAGGAUUUGGUGUUUACUCUUUCAAUCCAUCUUUGCUCUAUUUGAAUUUGGUGUGAACUCUCUGAUUUGAUGAGCUAUUUGUGCAGGUUUUCUUUGUUUGUUGCACUUGUGCCGCAUUUUGGUGAGUUCUUUUUCCUACUACUCUUUUUCUGCUCAAUUUUGUUUUCAAUAAUUUUAUUUAUCUACAUAGUUCCUCUUUUUUGCUGGUUUUCUUUUUGAAUCUCUCUUUUGACUUUAAAGUUUCCUCAGUACUAAGCAAUGAAAAUUAGACAUCCAGAGUUGCCAUACAGUUUCUUUGUGAGAAGCUCGUGUGGAAGUUGAGAGGUAACUUGGAAACUGGCUAUUUUUGUUAUUGAAUGUGAAAAUAGAUGC